CCUACGGGUGGCAGCAGUGGGGAAUAUUGCACAAUGGGGGAAACCCUGAUGCAGCGACGCCGCGUGAGCGAGGAAGUAUUUCGGUAUGUAAAGCUCUAUCAGCAGGGACGAAAAAAGACGGUACCUGACUAAGAAGCCCCGGCUAACUACGUGCCAGCAGCCGCGGUAAUACGUAGGGGGCAAGCGUUAUCCGGAUUUACUGGGUGUAAAGGGAGCGUAGACGGCAAGGCAAGCGAGAAGUGAAAGGGCAGGGCUCAACCCUGUACAUGCUUUUGAAACUGUGGUGCUGGAGUGCAGGAGAGGUAAGUGGAAUUCCUGGUGUAGCGGUGAAAUGCGUAGAUAUUAGGAGGAACACCAGUGGCGAAGGCGGCUUACUGAACUGUAACUGACGUUGAGGCUCGAAAGCGUGGGGAGCAAACAGGAUUAGAUACCCCAGUAGUC
RNAcentral lists this ribosomal RNA (441 nucleotides) under uncultured bacterium. Its description in RNAcentral is "partial 16S ribosomal RNA". It matches the Rfam family "Bacterial small subunit ribosomal RNA", at positions 338 to 795 of the family's 1533-position model. The record is from RNAcentral.